AAUGCCUGUCCCUCCUCAAUGCUGCCCAGAAGACAAUGGGUGGUUUAUUCUCUGGAAAGGAUAAAACAGAAGGUCUAUACUGGGGAAAGCUGUGCUGGCAUCAGAGCUUCCUACCUUUCUGUGAGAUGGAAUACAAAAAAGAACGUAUCCAAAAGACUCGUCCUCCUCCUUUAUACCUCCUUGGACAGAGAGGUCUGGCUCUCAGGAAAAUGGCUCCCACUGGCCACGUUGCUAUAUGAACCAUUUUGUCUUGCCAGCUAGUAUAGACAGAAAUUUCUCCUUCAAAUGUAGCCUCUCAUCAGAAGCUGUGCCAAGCCAGCGGCAUCUCCCUGGCAAGAAAGUGUCUCACCAGCUCCAUUUUCAUCUUUCAGUGUCAAGUCAAUAUCAAGUUCAUUUUAAGAAUCAACCUUUGGUGACUCUUCCAGGGCCACUUACCAUCUCCACUAAAGAUUGCCUUUGUAAAGCAUUUUUUAAAAAUAGAGAAUUCUUUUCAUGUUUCCCCAGAGAUAUAGCACCUUUGAAAUUGACCCAAGACAGAGCCAGAGAUUCAAUGUGAUACAGAACUUCUCCUUGUCAGCUGCUACUUGUCUUGAGCCUUGACAAAAGAAACAGAGAAUGAGCACAUGAGAAAGAUGAAAGGACCUCCCAUUAAGAGUCUGGAAUUGAUUUUUUUUUUUUUUUUUGGUCUCCUGGAAAGCCGUUAUGAAACAUGAGUGUAGAGAGGUUACCAACUGACUCCCUUUCACACAAGAUGCUGCCCUCAAAGCUAUAUCACUGAGGGCAACAAUGGUAGAUUCAGCAGAUGGCUGCUUAAAGCCAAAAGCCAUGGAUCUGGAAGGGGAACACACUUCUAUAGGUAAACAUAUGCAAGAAUUCACACAUUAUGCUGGAAAAAAAAUGGACACAGAAAAAUCAAAUAUUUGGAGAAAAUAAGAGGAGGUCCAAGAAACAGAUAUUUCUAGGGCUAAAUCAGCUUAUUACAGAGAAAUCCAUCACUGGCUGGACCAUACGUGGAUGGUGUUUAAUAGAUAACACAAGAGAACACUCAGAUAUGGACUUAUUCAGGAUGCUCAAGACUGAAAGUGUCAAAAGUGUGAGACAGAGAACAUUCAUUCACUGAGAUGCAAGUUAAUGGCCAAGGGAAACCACCAGAUGGAGUUUCCUGCAUUAUUUUUUUCCCUGUUUGAAAGCAGAGUCAGAAUUAAAUUUUGUGGAACAUAACACUUACACAUUGAGAGAAGAGGCCUGUUGAGAAAAUGAAUUCAAUAUUAGGACACUAAUAUUACUAGCGCCCCUCUCAGGGCCUAGGAAGGGGCUCGUGAAAGUGAGAGGCUUAUGCAUCAUUAGUCAGACAAUAAAUUCACCUCUGGUUAAGAGUUAUGUAGAGGAACACGCAUUGCUGUUUGAACGCUUUCUCUGGGCAUCACCCCUGUGAUAUCUUACCGUAACUUCCCUGGUUGAAUUGAGGGUUGGCAAAGAACAAAACUGUCAAAUCUGGAUUAGUAGAUUUGCAAUGGAAAGUUUGACGUGGGAAG
RNAcentral lists this long non-coding RNA (1535 nucleotides) under Equus caballus (horse). RNAcentral describes it as "lncRNA (ENSECAG00000056190.1)". Lineage: Eukaryota; Metazoa; Chordata; Mammalia; Perissodactyla; Equidae. The record is from RNAcentral.